CACAUGCAAGUCGAGGGGCAUCGGGAACAUAGCUUGCUUUCUUUGCCGGCGACCGGCGCACGGGUGAGUAACACGUAUCCAACCUGCCCUUUACUCGGGGAUAGCCUUUCGAAAGAAAGAUUAAUACCCGAUAGUAUAAUGAUUCCGCAUGGUUUCAUUAUUAAAGGAUUCCGGUAAAGGAUGGGGAUGCGUUCCAUUAGGUUGUUGGUGAGGUAGCGGCCCACCAAGCCUUCGAUGGAUAGGGGUUCUGAGGGGAAGGUCCCCCACAUUGGAACUGAGACACGGUCCAAACUCCUACGGGAGGCAGCAGUGAGGAAUAUUGGUCAAUGGGCGCUAGCCUGAACCAGCCAAGUAGCGUGAAGGAUGAAGGCUCUAUGGGUCGUAAACUUCUUUUAUAUAAGAAUAAAGUGCAGUAUGUAUACUGUUUUGUAUGUAUUAUAUGAAUAAGGAUCGGCUAACUCCGUGCCAGCAGCCGCGGUAGUACGGAGGAUCCGAGCGUUAUCCGGAUUUAUUGGGUUUAAAGGGAGCGUAGGUGGACUGGUAAGUCAGUUGUGAAAGUUUGCGGCUCAACCGUAAAAUUGCAGUUGAUACUGUCAGUCUUGAGUACAGUAGAGGUGGGCGGAAUUCGUGGUGUAGCGGUGAAAUGCUUAGAUAUCACGAAGAACUCCGAUUGCGAAGGCAGCUCACUGGACUGCAACUGACACUGAUGCUCGAAAGUGUGGGUAUCAAACAGGAUUAGAUACCCUGGUAGUCCACACAGUAAACGAUGAAUACUCGCUGUUUGCGAUAUACAGUAAGCGGCCAAGCGAAAGCAUUAAGUAUUCCACCUGGGGAGUACGCCGGCAACGGUGAAACUCAAAGGGAUUGACGGGGGCCCGCACAAGCGGAGGAACAUGUGGUUUAAUUCGAUGAUACGCGAGGAACCUUACCCGGGCUUAAAUUGCAGUGGAAUGAUGUGGAAACAUGUCAGUGAGCAAUCACCGCUGUGAAGGUGCUGCAUGGUUGUCGUCAGCUCGUGCCGUGAGGUGUCGGCUUAAGUGCCAUAACGAGCGCAACCCUUAUCUUCAGUUACUAACAGGUCAUGCUGAGGACUCUGGAGAGACUGCCGUCGUAAGAUGUGAGGAAGGUGGGGAUGACGUCAAAUCAGCACGGCCCUUACGUCCGGGGCUACACACGUGUUACAAUGGGGGGUACAGAAGGCAGCUAGCGGGUGACCGUAUGCUAAUCCCAAAAUCCUCUCUCAGUUCGGAUCGAAGUCUGCAACCCGACUUCGUGAAGCUGGAUUCGCUAGUAAUCGCGCAUCAGCCACGGCGCGGUGAAUACGUUCCCGGGCCUUGUACACACCGCCCGUCAAGCCAUGGGAGCCGGGGGUACCUGAAGUACGUAACCGCAAGGAUCGUCCUAGGGUAAAACUGGUGACUGGCC
Molecule: ribosomal RNA, 1425 nt
Filed under: uncultured organism
Description: SSU rRNA
Rfam family: Bacterial small subunit ribosomal RNA
Source: RNAcentral